Molecule: ribosomal RNA, 251 nt
Filed under: uncultured prokaryote
Description: partial 16S rRNA
Rfam family: Bacterial small subunit ribosomal RNA
Source: RNAcentral
ACGGAGGAUGCGAGCGUUAUCCGGAUUUAUUGGGUUUAAAGGGUGCGUAGGUGGACUGUUUAGUCAGUGGUGAAAUGCUGAUGCUCAACGUUAGCAUUGCCGUUGAAACUGACAGUCUUGAGAGUGAUUGAGGCAGGCGGAAUGUGUGGUGGAGGGGAAAAAGAGAAAAAAAUCCCAAAGAACCCAAAUGGCGAGGGCACCUUACAAAGCCACAACUGACACUGAAGCACGAAAGCGUGGGGAUCAAACAG